Molecule: ribosomal RNA, 464 nt
Filed under: Vreelandella stevensii
Lineage: Bacteria; Pseudomonadati; Pseudomonadota; Gammaproteobacteria; Oceanospirillales; Halomonadaceae
Description: partial 16S ribosomal RNA
Rfam family: Bacterial small subunit ribosomal RNA
Source: RNAcentral
CCUACGGGAGGCAGCAGUGGGGAAUAUUGGACAAUGGGCGAAAGCCUGAUCCAGCCAUGCCGCGUGUGUGAAGAAGGCCUUCGGGUUGUAAAGCACUUUCAGUGGGGAAGAAAGCCUUGGGGCUAAUACCCUCGAGGAAGGACAUCACCCACAGAAGAAGCACCGGCUAACUCCGUGCCAGCGCCGCGGUAGUACGGAGGGUGCGAGCGUUAAUCGGAAUUACUGGGCGUAAAGCGCGCGUAGGCGGUCUGAUAAGCCGGUUGUGAAAGCCCCGGGCUCAACCUGGGAACGGCAUCCGGAACUGUCAGGCUAGAGUGCAGGAGAGGAAGGUAGAAUUCCCGGUGUAGCGGUGAAAUGCGUAGAGAUCGGGAGGAAUACCAGUGGCGAAGGCGGCCUUCUGGACUGACACUGACGCUGAGGUGCGAAAGCGUGGGUAGCAAACAGGAUUAGAUACCCUAGUAGUC